CAUUACGACUAGCAUUUUGGCCUUGUCCAUAUUGGUUAUGAGACCAUCCAUGGUAUCCAUUAUUACCAAUACCAUUACCAAUGCCAUUACCAAUACCAUUGCCAUUACCGUUACCAUUACCAUUACCGUUACCAUUACCAUUACCAUUAAAAUAACUAUUAUUAUAAUUAUUAUUAUUACUAACAAAGCCAUUAAAGUGAUUGUUAUUUUGGUGAGUUUUUUUUGAUGAAGAUUGAUAAUUUUGAAAUCUACCAACAUCUAUCAUUCCCAUUCCUGAUCUUCUUGUUCCAUCAAAAUUCGAAAAGUUACCUUCUUUGUUAUUAUAUCCAAUUAAGUUUUUUGUAUGAUUAAUAUUAUUAUUACCAUUUAAUCUACCAUUUGAAAAAGCACCUCCUAAUCUUCCAGAAUAAAAUUCAUUUUCUCUUGUUUGAACAUAUCCUCCUCCUAAAAGACGAUUCUGCAUAGAAUUGUGUUUACGUUGUUGUGAAGAUACAUCCAUAACACUCUUAUCUAAGUUCUUGAAAGAUUUCUGUCCUAAACCUGAAAAAGAAGAAACAUCCAUACCUGAUGAAGAAGAUUUCAUUACUCUAGUAUUCAUAUUACUAGCUCUGAAUUCUCCUCUUAUUCCUCCCAUUCUUACUUCUCCUUCUUCUUCCUCUCCUACUCCUACCCCUAAUCCUGCUCUUCUCCCUUCCUCCUCCAUUGUCCCAUUAAAACCGGAACCAUGACCAGGACCAGGGCCAAGACCAAGACCAAUAUCAAAACCAAAUCCAAGCCGACUAAACUCCGCUUCUUGUCCUUGUAACAAACUAUAUGACAUCUUCCGAACUACAUUAUUGGAAUUCAAAGAUCUCGAGUAGUUAUUAUUACAGCUUACUGGAAGUGGAGGCGGACUUGGUAUACCACUACUGCCACUAAUGCUAUUAUUACUACUACUACCAACUCCACCACCAAUACCAACGCCACCAACAUUAACACCACUACCACCACUACUACCACCACCAACAUCACCACCACCACUGCUCUCAAAGCCACCCAUCUCCACC
This 1046-nucleotide non-coding RNA is filed under the name Cryptosporidium parvum. Lineage: Eukaryota; Apicomplexa; Conoidasida; Eucoccidiorida; Cryptosporidiidae. The record is from RNAcentral.